UGAACGCUGGCGGCAGGCUUAACACAUGCAAGUCGAGCGGUAACAGGAAUUAGCUUGCUAAUUUGCUGACGAGCGGCGGACGGGUGAGUAACGCGUAGGAAUCUGCCUGGUAGUGGGGGACAACAUGUGGAAACGCAUGCUAAUACCGCAUACGCCCUACGGGGGAAAGGAGGGGAUCUUCGGACCUUUCGCUAUCAGAUGAGCCUGCGUGAGAUUAGCUAGUUGGUGGGGUAAAGGCUCACCAAGGCGACGAUCUCUAGCUGGUCUGAGAGGAUGAUCAGCCACACUGGGACUGAGACACGGCCCAGACUCCUACGGGAGGCAGCAGUGGGGAAUAUUGGACAAUGGGCGCAAGCCUGAUCCAGCCAUGCCGCGUGUGUGAAGAAGGCCUUCGGGUUGUAAAGCACUUUCAGCGAGGAGGAAAGGUUGUCAGUUAAUACCUGGCAGCUGUGACGUUACUCGCAGAAGAAGCACCGGCUAACUCCGUGC
RNAcentral lists this ribosomal RNA (489 nucleotides) under uncultured Marinomonas sp. Its description in RNAcentral is "bacterial SSU rRNA". It matches the Rfam family "Bacterial small subunit ribosomal RNA", at positions 30 to 508 of the family's 1533-position model. The record is from RNAcentral. Lineage: Bacteria; Pseudomonadati; Pseudomonadota; Gammaproteobacteria; Oceanospirillales; Oceanospirillaceae.